Molecule: long non-coding RNA, 2266 nt
Organism: Hordeum vulgare subsp. vulgare (domesticated barley)
Lineage: Eukaryota; Viridiplantae; Streptophyta; Magnoliopsida; Poales; Poaceae
Exons: 3
Source: RefSeq, a predicted model, not a curated record
GUGAAAACAACCACGGAAAGGCUAUGGCGGGGGAAAUCUAGUGAUUUGGAGGGACGGGUCGUAGUCUCUCGCGUUGCGCCGCCAACGAGAGAGUGGUGGGAUUGUAGCCGUGGUAGAGGGGUGGGAGGCCAGCUGCCACGCAGGGGAAUGAACUUUCGCAGGGGGAGGGAGGAAGGUUGCGGCUCCAUGGUGGAAGUGAGGCAGCCGAAUAUCAUCGCGGAGGAGAGAGAGGAGGGGUGGCGCCGCCAAGGAGGAGAGCAACGACGGGGUGCGGCGUCGAUGCAGAGGAGGGAGGUGACCCACUGCACCGCACGAUUUCCGUUCCAGGUCACUUUAAAUCAUGGAUCCGCCACUGCAACCAGUGGACCAAUCAUGGGAAGAAACCUUCUCCCACACUCACAAUCAAGGGUUUAGGCUGGUCCACACUAGGCACCCCAAAUUUUAGAAAAUGGCAUUGCUCAUGGGCCUCGCUUGUGUUAGAUGAUGUACAUACGGUAUAAGUAUAAAUCGUGUAGAGAAUCGUGUGGGUGGUAGAUUCUGUUAUCUUGUAGGUAGUUAGAAUCGGAUCCUAUAUAGAUCGAUCUAACCUAACCGACUUGAUGUAUAUCUUAUGUAAUCCUACCUUAUAUAAACACGAAUGCAUCCCUGCUAAUGUAUCAUAUGCUUAAACCAAGUUUCACAUGGUAUCAGAGCCAUCUUUUUGCAACGCAUCAAGCCAUGUCAAGCUCCUCCUCCGCCAUGGCUGCGCCUGUCGUCGCCUCUCUCGGCCACACCAUUGCUGAGAAGCUCAACCGCGAGAACAUCCUCAUCUGGAAGGCUCAAAUCCUGCCGCACAUCAAGGUGGCGGGGAUGAUUCCAUCCAAGAGCAUGCUGGCGUGAUCCUCUCGGAGAAGGAGGUCUCCAGGAAGAAGACGAUCACGGAAACACCGAACCCCGAGCACGUCGUAUGGGUUACGCAAGACCAGCAAGUCCUCACUUUUUUUAUCUCAUCGCUUUAUCACGGGAUCUUGUUGCACGUCAGCUCAUACACCACUCCUGCCACCCGUUGGAAGGCUCUACAACAGAGUUCUGCUUCGCAAUCAAGGGCGAGCAUCAUCCAGCUCCGCGCCGCCAUCAAGCACACGCGCAAGGGAGAUCUCUCUGCGGCGGCUUACUACAACAAGAUGGCGAGCAUCGCCGACGAACUGGCAGCAGCCGGUAAGCCACUCGAAGAGGAUGAUGUAAUCUCCCACAUACUGCAAGGAGUUCUCCAUGAACCUGACUACAAUAGCUUUGUUUCGGCUAUCUCUACCCGCACCGCAACCGAUCAGCCGAUCGGUUUGGUGGAACUCUUAUCCUUGCUGCUGUCGGCGGAAUCUUGCAUCACCGCUCAGAACGCGGCCUUCCCCAGCAGGCACUCCGUCAACCACGCCACUCGGGGAGGUGGUCGCGGCAACUCUGGGUGACCUGGAGGCAAUCCUGGAGAGGGCGCUCGUGGCUACGACAACAACUACACGGGCGCUCGCUACUCCAACAACUUUGGUGGCGGGCGCGGUGAUGGCUCCUCUGGAGGGGCACCGCAUCAAGGAAGUGGUGAUCGCGGUGACCAUGUGCAGGAGAAGUGUCAGAUCUGCAAGGAGAUGGGCCAUGGUGCAUGGCGCUGCAGGAUGCACUAUGAUCGCAACUACAACAACAAUGUGCGUCAUCCUGCUGGCAGUAGUGGUGGUGGUGGAAACUACUGCAAACGUUGUUCACUCCUAUGGGGUGGACACCAACUGAUAUCUCGACACCGGGGCAACGGAUCAUGUGAUAGGGGAGUUGGAGAAACUUGUUGAUCGUGAUCGCUAUACUGGCACGGACCAAAUCCACACGUCGAGUGGACAAGGAUCGGGCCAGCAGGACUACAAUUCUUCAAGGCAAGAGUAGAAGCAGUAUGUUCCCCAUCUCCGGUCGUCAAGAUGUCCCUAUGUGCCAACUGCUAAGUGUGACUAAACCAUCCACGUCACGCUGGCAUAGGCGCCUAGGACAUUCGUCCCUUCUGGUGGUUCAAAAAAUUAUACGGGUUUUUAAUCUUCGAGUGUCAAAUAAAAAGGAUCACCACUUAGUUUGUGAUGCUUGUCAAAUGGCCAAAAGCCAUCAACUUCCGUACUCUAGAUCCACUAGUGAAUCCAAAGCUCCUUUAGAGCUCGUUUUUUCUGAUGUGUGGGGUCCAGGCCCAACCUUUGUAGGCAGACAAAAAUAUUAUGUGAGUUUCAUUGAUGAUUUUAGCAAAAUUUACUUGGAUUUA